AUUUUUUAAUUGUUUGGUCAAAAUCUGGAUAAACUGCAGAUCAUUAAAAAUGAAACUGUUAAAUAAACCUGUACACAGCAAAUUCAAAAGUCUUAAAUGUUUUGGUGUUAGUAGACUUUAUGCAAAAGCAGAGUUAAUUUUACUCUAAUAGAGUCACAUUCUGUUUAUGUAGCUCUGGGGUGUAAAUUAUUAGUAGUUAAAAUCCAGUGUUAAAACAAAGUUUUUUCCGUAUCAAAUCUAUCGGUGUUAAAAUGGAACCAGUAACUCUUGACUUCUUAACUCUGAACUCCUACAGCCGCUGUAUAACACUAAAGGAGCUCAUUCACUGACUCCGCCCCCAGAAUCACCGGUUCCCUCCGAAGCGACGUCAAGCGACAGACGCCAAGUCAUUUCAGGACAAUUUACUUUCCACAUGUCUGAGUUGUUCACUGCGCUUGUAUGGUUGCGGAUGAAUCGCCAGUCGUCAGCGUCAACCUCCCGAACCCUACGUGGAUUCUUCAAAGAUUCAAGCUCCAAAAAUGAUUCUAGACCAAUACUGGCUAUAGUACUCGGUGCAGUAGAGGAGCACGGUGAUGUCUGGGGCCAAAGUUCACGAACAGCCCAACAACCCGAAGACAAUCUGUGUUAGUGAGUGGACAGCUUUUUGGGGGAGUGCAGAAAGGCCCAGUCCCUUAUCAACAGAAUCAUAAACUGGAUGGAUCUGAAUAUCAGGUUGGUCUGUUAUGUUCUGUAAUAUCCAGCAAUCUACCUGUUAAAAGAACAUUUGCUCUAUCAUAUUACAUGAACUACUUGCUUUACUUUCUCCGCCUUGUACUUUGAACAAUUUCAUGCAUAUUGUAUUGAAGAAAAAUGUAUUAAGCAUAUACUGCAUUUUGUAUUGCACAGCUGAUAUGUCAGACCUCUUGAUAAGCAAUAUGUGAAUGAAGGCGACAUGUGAAACAUGCACAUUAUUCCACGUUGUAAUAUGUUUUGUAAUUAUGGCGCAUGUUUUGAAAUAAAUGUA
This is a long non-coding RNA of Xiphophorus couchianus (Monterrey platyfish), 1003 nucleotides long. RefSeq lists it as uncharacterized. Lineage: Eukaryota; Metazoa; Chordata; Actinopteri; Cyprinodontiformes; Poeciliidae. The record is from RefSeq and is a predicted model, not a curated record. The transcript is spliced from 3 exons.